CUGGGUGUGUAAGCGUAGCGAUACGUUGAGCUAACCAGUACUAAUGAACCGUGAGGCUUAACCUGACAACACCGAAGGUGUUUUAG
RNAcentral lists this ribosomal RNA (86 nucleotides) under Providencia stuartii. RNAcentral's name for it is "partial 23S ribosomal RNA". Lineage: Bacteria; Pseudomonadati; Pseudomonadota; Gammaproteobacteria; Enterobacterales; Morganellaceae. The record is from RNAcentral.